This 929-nucleotide ribosomal RNA is filed under the name Thaxterogaster castoreus. Its description in RNAcentral is "Cortinarius castoreus partial large subunit ribosomal RNA". It matches the Rfam family "Eukaryotic large subunit ribosomal RNA", at positions 39 to 954 of the family's 3401-position model. Lineage: Eukaryota; Fungi; Basidiomycota; Agaricomycetes; Agaricales; Cortinariaceae. The record is from RNAcentral.
CAUAUCAAUAAGCGGAGGAAAAGAAACUAACAAGGAUUCCCCUAGUAACUGCGAGUGAAGCGGGAAAAGCUCAAAUUUAAAAUCUGGCAGCCUCUGGCUGUCCGAGUUGUAAUCUAGAGAAGCGUUAUCCGCGCUGGACCGUGUACAAGUCUCCUGGAAUGGAGCGUCAUAGAGGGUGAGAAUCCCGUCUUUGACACGGACUGCCAGGGCUUUGUGAUGCGCUCUCAAAGAGUCGAGUUGUUUGGGAAUGCAGCUCAAAAUGGGUGGUAAAUUCCAUCUAAAGCUAAAUAUUGGCGAGAGACCGAUAGCGAACAAGUACCGUGAGGGAAAGAUGAAAAGAACUUUGGAAAGAGAGUUAAACAGUACGUGAAAUUGCUGAAAGGGAAACGCUUGAAGUCAGUCGCGUUGGCCGGGGAUCAACCUUGCUUUUGCUUGGUGUACUUUCUGGUUGACGGGUCAGCAUCAAUUUUGAUCAUUGGAAAAAGAUUAGGGGAAUGUGGCAUCUUCGGAUGUGUUAUAGCCCUUGGUUGUAUACAAUGAUUGGGAUUGAGGAACUCAGCACGCCGCAAGGCCGGGUUUUUAACCACGUACGUGCUUAGGAUGCUGGCAUAAUGGCUUUAAUCGACCCGUCUUGAAACACGGACCAAGGAGUCUAACAUGCCUGCGAGUGUUUGGGUGGAAAACCCGAGCGCGUAAUGAAAGUGAAAGUUGAGAUCCCUGUCGUGGGGAGCAUCGACGCCCGGACCAGAUCUUUUGUGACGGUUCCGCGGUAGAGCAUGUAUGUUGGGACCCGAAAGAUGGUGAACUAUGCCUGAAUAGGGUGAAGCCAGAGGAAACUCUGGUGGAGGCUCGUAGCGAUUCUGACGUGCAAAUCGAUCGUCAAAUUUGGGUAUAGGGGCGAAAGACUAAUCGAACCAUCUAGUAGCUGG